RNAcentral lists this ribosomal RNA (487 nucleotides) under uncultured bacterium. Its description in RNAcentral is "bacterial SSU rRNA". It matches the Rfam family "Bacterial small subunit ribosomal RNA", at positions 28 to 534 of the family's 1533-position model. The record is from RNAcentral.
GAUGAACGCUGGCGGCGUGCCUAAUACAUGCAAGUCGAACGGAGAUUGUAGCAAUACUUUCUUAGUGGCGAACGGGUGAGUAACGCGUUGGUGACCUGCCCCGAAGUGAGGGAUAACAGCCCGAAAGGGUUGCUAAUACCUCAUGCGGUUUUGGAGAUUAGAUGCUCCUUAACCAAAGGAGAAAUCCGCUUUGGGAGGGACCUGCGUCCCAUCAGCUUGUUGGUAGGGUAAAGGCCUACCAAGGCUAUGACGGGUAGGGGACCUGAGAGGGUGGCCCCCCACAAUGGAACUGAAACACGGUCCAUACACCUACGGGUGGCAGCAGUAGGGAAUAUUGGUAAUGGGCGAAAGCCUGAACCAGCAACGCCGCGUGUGCGAUGAAGGCCUUCGGGUUGUAAACCUCUGUCAGUGGGGGAAGAAGGAAGUGACGGUACCCAAGAGGAAGCCCUGCUAACUACGUGCCAGCAGCCGCGUAAUAGUCACGUCG